This 207-nucleotide ribosomal RNA is filed under the name uncultured bacterium. Its description in RNAcentral is "partial 16S ribosomal RNA". It matches the Rfam family "Bacterial small subunit ribosomal RNA", at positions 568 to 774 of the family's 1533-position model. The record is from RNAcentral.
CACGUAGGCGGACCGGAAAGUUGGAGGUGAAAUCCCAGGGCUCAACCUUGGAGCUGCCUUCAAAACUAUCGGUCUGGAGUUCGAGAGAGGUGAGUGGAAUUCCGAGUGUAGAGGUGAAAUUCGUAGAUAUUCGGAGGAACACCAGUGGCGAAGGCGGCUCACUGGCUCGAUACUGACGCUGAGGUGCGAAAGCGUGGGGAGCAAACA